AUGGUGUCGCUCGCCGCCCCGGCCUUCCACUCGCUGGCCUCGCAAGUCUCCAGGGCCUGCACCACGAGGGCGUCUUCGAAAUGCGAGAGCGCGCCCGGCCGCCGUGGAGCGAAGGCGCGGCCUCGGGCGGCGGGGACUGCGCAGGCGGCGGCGGUGGAGGCGGAGGAGACGCCGAGGUUCAGGUGGGAUGAGCUCGGGUCCGACCUUUCCGAGCCCCAGGAGCAGGCGAUGCGCGGCCUGUCCCCGAAGCUGCCCAACCGAUGCAGGGCGCUGAUGCCGCGCGUCCUGUCGCUGUCCCCCGGCGAUGAGAAUCUCGGCGUGGUCCUUGCGUUCUGGGUGAAGGCCAUGAAGCCCAAGAGGGCGGAUUGGCUGCUGGUCCUCAAGGAGCUCAAGGCUAUGGAGAGCCCGCUUCUCGCUGAGGUACUAGAAUAUGCACUGCUGGAGGAUUCUUUCGAAGCGAAUGUGCGCGACUACACCAAGUUGAUGCAAAUCUACGGCAAGCAAAAUCUGUUGCGGGAAGCCGAGGAAGCAUUCCAGGCCAUGAAAGCCAGAGGCCUCCCAUGUGAUCAGGUCAUGCUGACUGCACUGGUGGACAUGUACAGCAAGGCCGGGGAUCUCACCCGCGCAAAGGAAACAUUCGAAGAGAUCGUGUUGCUGGGCCUACCGCUCGAUAAGCGCGCGUACGGUUCGAUGAUCAUGGCCUACAUCAGAGCAGACAUGCUAGACCAAGCAGAAGAUCUGAUCAAACAGACGGAGGAUCAGCAGGUCUUCGCAGGAAAAGAGGUCUACAAGGCUCUGCUUAGAGCAUACUCGUACAAAGGCGAUUCAGAGGGGGCGCAAAGGGUUUUCGAUGCGGUGCAGUUCGCGGGGACGGUGCCAGACACAAAGCUGUGCGCGCUCCUGGUGAAUGCCUACUGCCUCUCCAAUAGGAUCGACGAGGCCGUCUGUGUGACCCGAAACAUGAGGAGUGCGGGACUGGAACCGUGCGACAAGUGUGUCGCCUUGAUACUCAGCGCGUACGAGAAGGCCAAUAGGCUGGAAGGAGCACUGGAGUUUCUGGCGGAGCUCGAAGAGAACGGCAUCGUGAUCGGCCAAGAGCCGUCGCAGCUGCUCGCGGCAUGGUUCGGGAGGCUCGGGGUGGUUCAUGAAGUGGAGCAGGUCCUGGAGGAAGUGAGUAAGAGUAGCAAGACCAAGCAGAGUGUUUCAGUCCUGAAGGAAGGGACGAAGAGUGGGAAGAGCAAAGACGGUGUCAAGAAGGAAUGGAGAAAAGGCAGAACGAGCAAACACAGCAUUUCAGUACACCAGCAACCCAGCAUUUCAGUCCAGAUGAAAGGGGCAACCAACAGGAAGAGCAGAAUCACUCAGUCCAUUACCUCUGCAACUGAAGUGAUUUUGUAA
This 1398-nucleotide ribosomal RNA is filed under the name Triticum aestivum (bread wheat). Its description in RNAcentral is "partial small subunit ribosomal RNA". The record is from RNAcentral. Lineage: Eukaryota; Viridiplantae; Streptophyta; Magnoliopsida; Poales; Poaceae.